Molecule: long non-coding RNA, 391 nt
Filed under: Cyanistes caeruleus (blue tit)
Lineage: Eukaryota; Metazoa; Chordata; Aves; Passeriformes; Paridae
Description: lncRNA (ENSCCEG00000013353.1)
Source: RNAcentral
GAAAAAAAAAAAUCUGGAUUUUUCUGCAAGACUUGGGGAAAAAUUGACCUUCCAGAUGGCACAUGGCAUCAGAGUGUCAGAUUCAGGAACAGAGUGAAAAGUGUCAGGAAAAGAAAUUUUUCCACAAUCACAAAGAGUAGAUGCUUGAUAAAGAAUAUUGAUGUCAUCACUAUGUAUUCCCAUACAACAAUCUACCGAAAAGACUGAAGGCUAAAAGGAAAGAGCAGAAAAGUCAAUUGUUUUCUGCAGAUUCCUUCCUGAGAUACCUCAUUUUCCUGCACUAUCUAUCAAGUCAGAGCACCUACGCUGAUGCAAGAAGUGUGACCCUGAGUCCAACCCCUGCUAACAACUGGUUGCCCCACAAACUUCCUUGGGAGCAUCUAGAGGUCCG